Gambusia affinis (western mosquitofish) is the source of this 5970-nucleotide long non-coding RNA. RefSeq lists it as uncharacterized. NCBI's taxonomy places the organism in Eukaryota, Metazoa, Chordata, Actinopteri, Cyprinodontiformes, Poeciliidae. The transcript is spliced from 4 exons. The record is from RefSeq and is a predicted model, not a curated record.
CUACUUUUAACGAAUUUUGAAGCAGAUGAAGUAUGAGUGUCAGCACUGAGUUAAGGAGCGUGGCCAGUAACAGCUUAUUUGCAUUAAAGUGACUGAGCCGUAAAACUGUUAAUUCUGGAAGAAACUCCAAUUAGGCAAAAUGGAUGACCUGAAAUCUCAUUAUAUGAGGAUGAUUUUGGGCAAAAAAAAAUUAAUGAACAUGUUUUGGGUAAUCCAUGGACCUACCUUAACAUAUCUAAAAGAAAAUAUAAAAGGUACUUUUUAAGAAUUGUUUUUUGAGGAUGUUAGGACACCCUGUCUCAAGAUUUUUUAGUUUUUGGUUAACGCCAAAAAUUUCAAUGUAUUUUGGCGUAAUUUUGCAGCACUGGUAAAAACGUUAAAGGGUUAAUAGAAGCAUUGUGAUGACUUCAUGAAGGCUGAGUUUCAGAAAGAGCAGAAGCUUCUUAAAGAGACCGAGGCCUGAUUUCAAGUUGUCAAAUUUCUUUUAAGUCACAUUUGAUAUAGAUUUAAAAAAACUGAAGUUAUUCGAGUUACUUGCCUAUGUUGUAAAAUGUCACUACGUGCCUGGAAAAUGCGUAAUACUGCCCCUUUAAUAAAAGCCACUGAAGUUUUUUAGAACUUUAUGAAAUGUGAAAACAUUAUGCUGUUGUACACUGAGCUUCCCUUCACUUCCACAGUCCAACACCAGAGAGAAGAGCAAAGCUCCUGAAUAAAUUUGAAAACUGACAUUGAGUUUGAAAUGCCUCACAAAAUUUGAAGGACAAAACUUGUAACGCACAACAGUAGGGCUUUUUAUUUUCAAUGACCUUACAUGAUUGGACAGCUCUCAUGGUUGUUUGCACAUCACGAUUUUUCUGACUGUAACUGAAAAGGAACGCCAUGCUGACGUGAAACUUCUGUAAAGGACGAGGCUUUUCAUAGAAAUAAUUACCAAGGAAACUGCAUCUCUACGAAUAUUCCCUAAGUUACUCCUUGUCUAGGUGAUAUUACCAUCUCCUGAUAUAUUACUGUCCUUUGUGUUGUGCCUCUUCCACAUGUGUUUGCUCAUUUUGAUUUACAGUGCCUUGCACGAUAUUCAUACAGCCUGGGCAUUUUCACAUUUUUAACGUCAGAACCAUCCACUUCUCUGGCCACUUCACCCACACUGUCCCAAUAUGGAUCUCUGGAAAACAAAUAUAUUUUUAUCUUUCAUCCAUAUGAACGUGGAUAUUUGAAAAAAAGUCAACAUUUGUGUUUGUGUUUGUGUUUGUGUAGACGCCAAAACAGAGUUUUAGGGUCCCAUGCCUUACAGUCUGUGACAAAUAAUGCACCAAUAUAUCCACAUACUAGGAUAUGAUUCCUAGUUGACAUUGUCUUGUGUUUUAAUCAUUUUUUUACGUUCUAAUAUGCUAUUUAAAAGUAGCUCAACCUAUGUAUGAACCUCUUGGUGCCAUGUUUAAUCCCUAACAGGAAGUUCUAGCUGUUUUGAAGCUAUCUAAAAAGCUGAUGUAGGUUUUAGCUUUGCUCUACACUGCCCCCUACAGGUAUGGCAUGCUUAAAACAAUGCUCAAGGGCAUAUUUGUGUCCAUUUGUGUUUAAGAAAACCUUUCUGUAUUUUUUCAAGCCAUGUGAUGGAGAUUUUUAUACAUGUGGAAGGUGUCUCACCACAAGUUUUAACCUGCCAGCAUCACGGCCUUUAUCAUAUUCGCAAGGCUGGUUGGAAAUGAAGCGAAACAAAGCAAAAAUAAAAUCAUAAAGUAACUUGUUGAUUUAAAAAAAGAGACAGGAACAAAAAUGAGGAUAUGGAUGACUUUUUUGUUUUGUUUUUACAUUUCUAUUCCACACUUUUUUCCUACUUUUUCUUAAAAUUUGGAAAUACUUCAAAAAUUUUCCCACCAGCUGUUGAAGUGUAAAUUUUUGCUAGUCAACAAUCUGCCAAUCUUGCGUGCCAAAUAAACUUUGUCACGUUAGAAUUCAGCGUCAGCCUCAGUGACUCUUGACCUUUACGAUGGUAGAGCUGUUCUGCGUUCCUCCCACUGCACUGCUUCACUGAGUGGGAUGAAUAAAAUCCCGUCUAAGCUUUGGAAGAAAACAGAAACAUAUCCCGAAGAGGAUAAUUCACACGCCCCAAUCAAACAGACAUCUUUGCUAAUACCUCACAAGUAAAAGUCCCUGCAUGCAAAUGUCAGGCAGAUAAUGACGGGCUCAGAGGAUUCCUCUAAGCAUCUGACUAAAAUAACCUUUAAGAUUACACGUCUGGUUAAUGAUUCUUUGCAUCUACAAAAUUUAAUCUUUGAAGAAAAGAGACUUUCUUUUGAGCCGAAGCAUAUUUAUUUUUACACAAAGCAACUGAAAAUGCUAAUCGCUGCGCUCUGUGACGCAGCAGGUUAAAAAUGUAUUAAAAAUUGGGCAUUUCAUCAAGAAGAAGUAAAAUACACAUUUUACAGUAAUAGUUAGAAGCCACUCAUAAGGAGAUUUUAAAAAAGUCUGUUUUAUUAAAGGACACAUCCUUUAAAAAUGAUGUUUUCAGUCCCUGAUUUAGCCAACGGUUCCUGCUGAAGUUGUCUCUGUCUGUAUUUUUAUCUCUGAUUAAUUAUAAUCAGUCCAAUGAACAGAGUUGUAAAAUUAUAAACACUGAGCUAAUUUACCACUGGGAUUUCAAACUUCAGAGCCAAGCUAUGUAUGACUCCACCUUUACUGCUACGGUCUCCGGUUAACUCAUGGCUUGCUAAUGCUAACAACGCUUUCACCUGAAAUAGUUUUAUGAAGUUGGAUAUUGGAUAAUUGGAUAUUUCAGUCUUUUUAUUGCCUUUACAAAUCAGUUAUCAGAAAAAUUUGACUUUUUUUGACUAAACAAAAAUUAAAAUAAUAAUGGAAAGAACACUUAAAACUGAUUUCUACAAAAUAACGACAGACUUUUUAAUGCCAGAAUCACUUUUGCAAACGGUAAAUUGUCCAAGGAGGUGAAUACUUUUUAUACGCAUUGUUUUUAAAUCUGUACAACACUUUAAGGUGCUUUUAGUGUGAAGGGUGCUUUAUGCUUGAUUGAUUGAUAUCUAUUAAAUCCUUCUAUUGAUUUGCUGUUAAGCUUUGUAUCCCACUUUUGGAGAAGGAAAAAUGUUUUUCUGUACUUGUUUCAGCUCAUUUUUUUCACUGUGCCACAAACUGUUUUUCCUCGACAACUGCAAGUUUUGACAUACUAUUCUGGAAACUCAUCUCUAUUUUUCGGAUGAGAUAUUUGAAAUUUUUUAAUUAAGCCGGCUAUUCUGGAGAGCUCACCUCUGCUGUUCUGCUGUAAAAACUCUGACCCUCAGAAAGGCUACAAGGACAUUGAAUCCUUCAGCUGCCCAAAAAAAAAAUAAAAAUAAAAAAUUCUUUCCUGACACACGCUGUUGUAGUUUAGUCCCAGGCAAACAUUCGGUCUAAAUAAAAGCUGUGAAGCCGUGACAUACCUCUUUUAAUUUCAGAUGCAGAUGGACUGAGGCAACUUCUGAUGUCCUCUUUUGUGCUGCAAAUUCUUUCUAAUUUCAUUUUUGAUGGAAAAACAACACCUCUCAUCGGAAAAGCAUGAAAAGAAAUUCUCAAACUCUGUGGUUUGCUCAUCCUCACUUCCAUCUGGGGUCAGAAGCUGACCCUUAAUCAUACUGCUUCAUGGCUGACCAGUCCAACGACCACUUAUGCAUAAUGUGAUUUAUUCUGAUGACAGUGGUUUAUCACUGUUUUGAUUGAGGCUCCAGCAUUAUCGCGUGCAAUUAGUCUCUUUUCAAUCAGGUCCUAUUGAGAAUAAAAGGGAACGUUUUUUUUUGUUGUAUGUUGUUUUUGUUUUUUUGUCUUUUCUACCCGCGGCCUUGCAGAGAAACGGAAUGAGAACGACGGUGGACUUCCGGAGAACAUCCCCCACUUCCCUCCCCUCACCAUCGUCAGCGACACUUUCUUACUCCAGAGCCCUCCCGGUUCGUGAAACCCCGUCUCUCCUCCAUCUCCUACGCCAAACGGACGAUCUGUAAUUGAGCGACUGGCAGCUAACAUCUUUCCAUCCAGACCACAAAGCAAUGGCUCUGCUACAAGUUCCGAUGUAAUCAGAACCUGCUCAAUGGUUCUCGACGCUGCAGUUGGGACUAAGUGUUUUCCAUGCACCAGGUGCUCAGAUAUUUCUCUGGAGGUUCUGAGUCUUUGCUCUCAAUACUCCGACACCGUUUGCUGGAACCGAACCGUCCAGGCGCCAGUGGAUCCUGAUCCUGAUCCUGAUCCUGAUCCUGACCCGACAGGCGUUCCUCCCGCCGUGUGGAUCCUCAGUGGAAUGUAAGUAUCAGGGUAGGAGUAGCUUUGGGAUUUUUCAUUGUAGUUUAGCUUUAUUUUGUUGUGAUUAGUGACUCAUUUAAUACUUUUUUUUUCCCUCUACCUGAUUAAAACCUAAAAAAUAAUCAGGAGUUGGUAACAUUUUAAAAACAAAAAUCCUGGAGUAAAUAUUAUCAGACGUCUUUGAAAGAGAUGACCUCAUCCCUUCAGUUGCUGCGUUGCUUCUGCGGUUUAGCUUGACCUCUGAACCCGUCAAGCGUCUGAUUGGUUGGGGAAGUAAAGGCAGGGUCGUACCGAUACCCUGAUCUUGCUUUGUGGAGUUUGAAGCUCUCGUAGUUCUAGGUGGUUUGGAGCUGUUUACCGUGUCGGUUCUGGAAUUAGUUCAUUUCUUUGGAAAGCAAUAAAAUAAAAAAACAAUUCAUUGUUUAUUGAAACAGUACUUGAGUCAAUUAAGUUUAAUUGAUUUCAAUGUUAAUUAAACUUAGAUACAACUUGAAAGUGCAUUUAACUUGGAUCUGUAACAUUAAUGUGAUUUUUAAAUUAAAAUUCAUUUGAAUUAUUCCUAACAAAGCCAGGCCUUGCUGCAUUUUACAAUGAAGUUAAGUUUUAUAUCCCAACUAUCAAAGACAAAAUAUUAUUAAAAUAAUUGAAAUCUGUGUUGCUUUGAAUGUACAGUUGGGAACCAAAGCUUUUAUUAAUCUUGAAUAUAUUUAUCAGUAUUUGCUUUUUCUUGAGGCAGAACAAAUGAGGCAUAACUCUGUCGUUACAUAGUGUGUCUGUGAAUAACGUUUUUUAACUGCCCCCCCUUCCUUCCACACCCAACAGACUUCUUGUCACACAGUGAUGUCACUCAUCCUGUCUGUGACAUCACAGGCGACUGUCUUUGUAUAUUCUCAGAUUUCACAGAAAAAUUCAUUUGCAGUUACAGAUUUUGACCAGAGAGCGAAGAUGGAAGCACAGAAUUUAUUGUUGGCAAAAGUGAAGACUUUGAAAAAGAGCUGCGUAAAACUUCAAGAAGAGAAGGAGCAGCUGCAGAAAACUGUAGAUGAACAGAGGAUUAAAAUUGAACAUUUGAAUAGUUGCACCGACAACAACGCCAGAAACCUCCAAACUGAGAACGAGCUUCUUGGGAACGCCAAUGAGUUUUACAAAACUCAAAUCAAGACCAUAACUUCAGAGCUGGAUGAUGCAAAACUGACGAUUUAUGACCUUAAAUGUGACUUUCAUACAAUUUUGAGAAAAAAUAUACAAUUAAAAGAAUCAGUACGUGUAACGAGAGAAAAAUUUGAGAACAAAUUGAAAGAAAAAUGCAAACAGCUAAACUGGAUUCAAACAUCCAAUGAUGAUUUAAACCAGGAGAUCGUGGCUUUGAAGUUGAAGGCUGACCGAUGGAAAUCCAGGGUGGCACAAAACCCUGAGGAGGUUCCCAAAACUACAGAGACAGCAGAUAAAAAACAAAAUGACACAGAAGAAAAAAACACAGGAGAGAAUCAAACACCAUCCAUUUUACAAAGAGUUGGCCGAACAUUUAAGCAAAUGUACAAGUGGGGAACUUUGCGAUAUUGGGUGCCACCCUGGAUCUUUUAGUUUCUGAGGGUUGAGAUAUAUAUAUAUAUAGAUAUAUAGAUAUAUAGAUAUAUAGAUAGAUAGAUAGAUAGAUAGAUAGAUAGAUAGAUAGAUAGAUAGAUAGAU